Molecule: ribosomal RNA, 332 nt
Filed under: uncultured eukaryote
Lineage: Eukaryota
Description: partial 18S ribosomal RNA
Rfam family: Eukaryotic small subunit ribosomal RNA
Source: RNAcentral
CCCUUAGAUGUCCUGGGCUGCACGCGCGCUACACUGGAAGUUACGGAUUGAGAUACUACCUUGUCCGAAAUGGUCCGGGUAAUCACCUAAAAGCUUGUCAUAAUUGGAAUGGAUUAUUGUAACUAGUAAUCCUGAACGAGGAAUUCCUAGUAAGUCCCAGUCAACAGCUGGUACUGAUUACGUCCCUGCCCUUUGUAAACACCGCCCGUCGCUACUACUGAUUGGACGUUUAAGCAAGAUUUUUAAACACUGACAGUGUGUAGUUCACGCUAUACUACAGUGAGAAGAAGAAGAUCGAGCUUACUUGUCUAGAGGAAGUAAAAGUCGUAACA